Carya illinoinensis is the source of this 231-nucleotide long non-coding RNA. RefSeq lists it as uncharacterized. NCBI's taxonomy places the organism in Eukaryota, Viridiplantae, Streptophyta, Magnoliopsida, Fagales, Juglandaceae. The record is from RefSeq and is a predicted model, not a curated record. The transcript is spliced from 3 exons.
UUUUUAUGAACUCAAUUCAAAUUGUGCCUUAAUCCGUUGAUUUUUGACUGCAACUUUGACUCAAAAGAACUCGGAGUCCACUCGAAUGUUAGCAGUACAAGAAGAGAUUCUGGAAAAGGAGCUUGGUGAAAUUCAAAAGGUGCUACUAGCCAUGCAGGAGCAGCAGCAAAAACAGCUUGAACUGAUUCUUGCAAUUGGAAAGACUGGGAAGCUAUGGGAAAACAAGUAAUC